AAAGGGAAGCUUAUGUCAAACUAUUGAAAUAUAGUUAGAUUAGCAUGUUAUACAUCCUCCAUUUAGUCCAAGGAAGCUUUAGGACAAGAAUUGGAUCCAAGCUAUGUAAGAAGAACUUAAUCAUUUUGGGACAAAAUAGAUCUUUAAGAGCAAGACUGUAAUAGCCCGUUUUUAGUGAAAUCAGAACAGUGGUUUCGAG
This 199-nucleotide long non-coding RNA is filed under the name Gossypium barbadense (sea-island cotton). Its description in RNAcentral is "long non-coding RNA (GBAR_LNC018084)". The record is from RNAcentral. Lineage: Eukaryota; Viridiplantae; Streptophyta; Magnoliopsida; Malvales; Malvaceae.